Molecule: ribosomal RNA, 1477 nt
Filed under: uncultured organism
Description: SSU rRNA
Rfam family: Bacterial small subunit ribosomal RNA
Source: RNAcentral
CGGCGUGCCUAAUACAUGCAAGUCGAACGAACUCUGGUAUUGAUUGGUGCUUGCAUCAUGAUUUACAUUUGAGUGAGUGGCGAACUGGUGAGUAACACGUGGGAAACCUGCCCAGAAGCGGGGGAUAACACCUGGAAACAGAUGCUAAUACCGCAUAACAACUUGGACCGCAUGGUCCGAGUUUGAAAGAUGGCUUCGGCUAUCACUUUUGGAUGGUCCCGCGGCGUAUUAGCUAGAUGGUGGGGUAACGGCUCACCAUGGCAAUGAUACGUAGCCGACCUGAGAGGGUAAUCGGCCACAUUGGGACUGAGACACGGCCCAAACUCCUACGGGAGGCAGCAGUAGGGAAUCUUCCACAAUGGACGAAAGUCUGAUGGAGCAACGCCGCGUGAGUGAAGAAGGGUUUCGGCUCGUAAAACUCUGUUGUUAAAGAAGAACAUAUCUGAGAGUAACUGUUCAGGUAUUGACGGUAUUUAACCAGAAAGCCACGGCUAACUACGUGCCAGCAGCCGCGGUAAUACGUAGGUGGCAAGCGUUGUCCGGAUUUAUUGGGCGUAAAGCGAGCGCAGGCGGUUUUUUAAGUCUGAUGUGAAAGCCUUCGGCUCAACCGAAGAAGUGCAUCGGAAACUGGGAAACUUGAGUGCAGAAGAGGACAGUGGAACUCCAUGUGUAGCGGUGAAAUGCGUAGAUAUAUGGAAGAACACCAGUGGCGAAGGCGGCUGUCUGGUCUGUAACUGACGCUGAGGCUCGAAAGUAUGGGUAGCAAACAGGAUUAGAUACCCUGGUAGUCCAUACCGUAAACGAUGAAUGCUAAGUGUUGGAGGGUUUCCGCCCUUCAGUGCUGCAGCUAACGCAUUAAGCAUUCCGCCUGGGGAGUACGGCCGCAAGGCUGAAACUCAAAGGAAUUGACGGGGGCCCGCACAAGCGGUGGAGCAUGUGGUUUAAUUCGAAGCUACGCGAAGAACCUUACCAGGUCUUGACAUACUAUGCAAAUCUAAGAGAUUAGACGUUCCCUUCGGGGACAUGGAUACAGGUGGUGCAUGGUUGUCGUCAGCUCGUGUCGUGAGAUGUUGGGUUAAGUCCCGCAACGAGCGCAACCCUUAUUAUCAGUUGCCAGCAUUAAGUUGGGCACUCUGGUGAGACUGCCGGUGACAAACCGGAGGAAGGUGGGGAUGACGUCAAAUCAUCAUGCCCCUUAUGACCUGGGCUACACACGUGCUACAAUGGAUGGUACAACGAGUUGCGAACUCGCGAGAGUAAGCUAAUCUCUUAAAGCCAUUCUCAGUUCGGAUUGUAGGCUGCAACUCGCCUACAUGAAGUCGGAAUCGCUAGUAAUCGCGGAUCAGCAUGCCGCGGUGAAUACGUUCCCGGGCCUUGUACACACCGCCCGUCACACCAUGAGAGUUUGUAACACCCAAAGUCGGUGGGGUAACCUUUUAGGAACCAGCCGCCUAAGGUGGGACAGAUGAUUAGGGUG